This 76-nucleotide transfer RNA is filed under the name Oxalobacter paraformigenes. Its description in RNAcentral is "Oxalobacter formigenes HOxBLS tRNA-Lys". It matches the Rfam family "tRNA". Rfam says of the family: Transfer RNA (tRNA) molecules are approximately 80 nucleotides in length. Their secondary structure includes four short double-helical elements and three loops (D, anti-codon, and T loops). The record is from RNAcentral. RNAcentral also lists the same sequence under 3 other names. Lineage: Bacteria; Pseudomonadati; Pseudomonadota; Betaproteobacteria; Burkholderiales; Oxalobacteraceae.
GGGUCGUUAGCUCAGUUGGUAGAGCAGCGGACUUUUAAUCCGUUGGUCGGGCGUUCGAGCCGCCCACGGCCUACCA